This 1540-nucleotide long non-coding RNA is filed under the name Dromaius novaehollandiae (emu). RNAcentral's name for it is "lncRNA (ENSDNVG00000004002.1)". The record is from RNAcentral. Lineage: Eukaryota; Metazoa; Chordata; Aves; Casuariiformes; Dromaiidae.
AUGGGCUCGCAGAUCCCCCGUCUCGUCCCCGUCUCGCCGCGCCGCUGCCGCUGCCGCUGCCGCUGCCGCUGCCCCGGCCCCGGCCCCGGCCCUGGCCCGGCCUCGCCCCCUGCCGCGCGGCUCCGGAGUCCCGCCGCGGCGCCGCUCCCGGCCCCGAGCAGCCGCUCUGUCUGCGGCCGCGCCGCCCGGCCGCCGCCCACCCACACUACAGCCUGGGCGGGCGCGGGGGUCGCGGGCGCAGAGUGGCGGGGCGGUGGCCGGGUCCGCAACGGGUCCGACCAGAAGCGCCGUCCGAGCCGCCGCAGCUCCCCGCGGCGCCACGACGAGAAGAGCCGGGCCCCGCAGGCAUCGGCCUCCUCCAUCGCUGCCGGCGGGGCGGGUGCCUCCAGCUCCUUUCGCUUUCAGCGCCGCCCCCCCACUGUGCGCGUGUCCGUGUCCCACCGGUGGCCCCGGUUGGAUCUCCAUGGUUUGCCUCUGCUUGUCUGUAGCCUAGAACAAACCGAACCCCUGCUGCUCAUGUUUCAUCACUACUUUCAAUGAUUAAGAGUAAGUUCCUUUGCUAAAUAAGCUCUCAGAAAUGGAAAUAUUUCUUGUGACUCAGGGAAAAAAUUGGUGACCUUUAGACUUCCUGUUUUUCUUCAGUCUUCAAAACAUUCUUUGAAACUCUUCUGCCAGCUUCUUCCUUCAAACAGUGUCAUGUGUUCCAGAGACCAAUAACUCACCUGUCCCCCAGCUUGUUACAUUGCUUGCUGCUGUAUCACAAAAGCCAAAAAUGCAGAAUAGGCUUUUUCUUUAGUGUGGACAAAAAGGGUCAAGAGAAAUUCCUCUGUGACUGGAAUCAAAAUCAGUGCUUUUACAGUAUAGUAACAUAGUUUUAGUAGAUUCGCAGGAGACAAGAGGCCCAGCCUGCAAGUAAACCUUCAUUCAUGUAGCAAACAACUGAAAACAGGCACUAAAAUUAACAAAGUGUUUAUGGGACAGGUUCCUGGGCAGUCAGAAGAGUCUUAAGGGAAAGACCACCCAUGCUUAGAAACAUAAAUGUGAUCCUUGGUUUCUUUCUGCUUGUAUAGGACUAUACAGAUGGAACCUGGUCUUUGGAGGUGUUUGGGCGCCUAAUUGCAUUUAUGAAUUUGUACUGUGGAGGAGAAUUCUUAGCCAUGUGUCAGGGAACAUAGUAAUAAUAAUGGAAUUAAAGAUGUUGAAGGCUCUUGUAAACAGGAGUGUUUUUUUUUUYCCCCCAUUAUAACCUAAGUCAUAAAUUGAAAUUUUUAAACGGGCACAAUAAUGUGGCUACAAAUUCUUCCCUGGGUGACUUUUUCAGUUUAAUUUAUGUCACUGGGAGUGGGAUUUAGGAAAAACUGAAGGGAAAACAUCACUUAUACUGGAGUGAGCUCAAAAGAGUCUAUGCUGUGUAGCCAGAGAAACUUCCCUGUGCAGACCAGAUUCAGCCUCACUUGGGAAAUUGAACUUUUCACAUGCAGARAAAACUACUUGGAGCUACGCAGGGYUGAAGAGGAAAUCUCUCUUUCUGGUCACCUUU